This 332-nucleotide ribosomal RNA is filed under the name uncultured bacterium. Its description in RNAcentral is "bacterial SSU rRNA". It matches the Rfam family "Bacterial small subunit ribosomal RNA", at positions 568 to 898 of the family's 1533-position model. The record is from RNAcentral.
CGUGUAGGCGGUUUGGUAAGUCUGAUGUGAAAGCCCCGGGCUCAACCUGGGAAGUGCAUUGGAAACUGUCAGACUUGAAUACGGGAGAGGGUAGUGGAAUUCCUGGUGUAGGAGUGAAAUCCGUAGAUAUCAGGAGGAACACCGGUGGCGAAGGCGGCUACCUGGACCGAUAUUGACGCUGAGACGCGAAAGCGUGGGUAGCAAACAGGAUUAGAUACCCUGGUAGUCCACGCCGUAAACGAUGAGUACUAGGUGUUGCGGGUAUUGACCCCUGCAGUGCCGCAGCUAACGCAUUAAGUACUCCGCCUGGGAAGUACGGUCGCAAGACUAAA